Molecule: long non-coding RNA, 1279 nt
Organism: Carassius gibelio (silver crucian carp)
Lineage: Eukaryota; Metazoa; Chordata; Actinopteri; Cypriniformes; Cyprinidae
Exons: 4
Source: RefSeq, a predicted model, not a curated record
UGUUAGACUUUUCUGUAAUUUCUACAGUUAUUUACCAUUUAUCAACCAGUAUAAUACUGUAAAUUCUCUUUACAGUUUAUAACUGUAAUUCCCUUUGCAUCAUGGGAAUUUUCUGUGACAUUAAACACCAAAUACAGUGAUUUGCUGUAUUUUUUAAAAAUAAAGUAUAAUACUGUAUUUACCACAACGGACUAUUUGGCGCUAUUUGGAUCGUCAGGAUUUGCUUUACGAUUUAGAUUAGGAACCAUAAAGUGCAGGGUUGAAGUUUUGCCCGAGGAGAGUGAUCAGCUGACGACGCCGGAGAACAUAAGAGCUGAGUACAAGGACAGACACCUUGCGAAGAUUUUUUCAUCCCCGUGAGUAAGGAAGAGGAAGAACAGCAAACAAGCAAGCUACAAUAAAGGCAUCCAUCGAGAAAGACAUGAGCCUUCCAGCCACACCAAGACUCAUAAUGCUUGGUCACAAUUUUUCUCUUCCACAAAGUGGAUGGUAAGCAUUGAGGGAAAGGUGGCCUAUGUUUUGGAUGAGCACCUGGGAUGAGCAGAUGCCUUUCUGUAUUCUUCAUCUUUUUCUACAUUUUCAACAUUGAAUACAAGGGGAGACUGCCUGUGCAACACUGAAACUCAUAAAACAGUUUUUCUUGAGGAUAAACCCAGAGGAGGGAACAAAAUGCACCGCCAAAACCGGAGUGAGUCGGAAGACAGGGGAAGUUGUGAAGAGAAAGACAACAGUAAUAAACAACCGUGUCAUCCUUUCUUCGCCACCUAAUGGAGUUUGAGUGGAGAAACUCGGACUAGGUGAAAUGCUUCUUAACAGGACAUCUACUGUAUACAGACACUUUUCAAUUUGAGGAUACUAAUGCAGUUUACUUUUAAUUCAUCCUGCAAUAAUGGUUACAAUGUUGUUUUUGAUUAAAUUGAAUUGAGGUGAUUCAGUAAUAUGAUGAUUUUGGAGGAUGUAGUUUGUGCUGCUUCUAUUAUUUACUGACAGUUUUCUAUUUAAUUAUCUAUUCUGUUAAGCUAAAUAACCGAAACACCGCUCUGUAAUAUGGAAUCAGGUUCAGCAUCACUACAAAGAACAUUCUUCAAAAUAUUCAUAGCAUUGAAUCACCACCUCCCUAAAAUAGUUUCAACAAUCUUCAUGAUGGCAUUGCAGGACUGGAUUAAACAGCAUUUGUAUUGUUAGUUUACCUCAAAGUGUUAACCAAGUGUAUAAAAUACUGUUUAACCAUAUGAUGAAAUGUAAUAGGAUUCAUUUUUAGGAUUUUUAAAAUUUACAU